Bactrocera neohumeralis is the source of this 1870-nucleotide long non-coding RNA. RefSeq lists it as uncharacterized. The transcript is spliced from 2 exons. NCBI's taxonomy places the organism in Eukaryota, Metazoa, Arthropoda, Insecta, Diptera, Tephritidae. The record is from RefSeq and is a predicted model, not a curated record.
UGUUGUGCAGUCGAUAAGUUGUCCGUUAAUAUUGAUCUAAUGUGUAUGUUCAUUAGCCUUUCUAGGUGUUUGAGCAUGAGGGAGGCGAGGUUUAUAGGUCUAAAAUCUUUAGCAUUUUCAUGCGUUCUUCUACCUGGAUUUGGUAGGAACACUAUCUUGACUCUUGACCGGAUACUUGCCUUAUAGUUCCUUUCAAGCCUUGGAACCAUUGUUUCUUCUGCUUCUGCAGCGUUUAUGGUAUGAUACCAUACGGACCCGCCGUUUUGUACGUUAAGCAGCUGUUAAUGGCGUAUGUAUGUGCAGUAGUAUGCUUUGCUCACGUAGCAUACUUUAGCGUACUUUAAGUUAAGGUUUCUCAUAUUUAGUGAAAAUAUUCCUUAAUAUCCGAUAAGUUUACGAAACAAAUAUUAUCUUUGCUGAAAAUGUAAAUUUCAUUUAGAGUGUCAUUUGCUUAUCUCGGGUCUCAUACCACAUCACCGCCACCCAGAUACCGCCUUCAAAAAUGUUGUGGCACAAAUUCCGCCAUUUAGAUUAGUCAUGCAAGUCACUCGCCAUCUUUUCGAAUUCAUUAACAGCAAAAUAAUAUCGCCAUUAACUUGAUUAUAUCAGUCAACGCGCCGAGUGAGUUUCCAUUCAAACGAAAUGUGCAUAUUCACUUGCAGCAAAGCUGUAGUGCUUAGGAGUAUCGCUAAUUUAAUCUUAACUACAGCGUAUUGUAUGCCUUGUCUUUGUGUGUGUGCGUGUGUUCGCCUGUUCGUUUGUCACACCGUGCGCUUUCAAUUAUUGCGGUUACAAAUCAGAAGUUAUGUUCGCCUCAAAAGCCGCUGUUGCACGAGUAAAUAGUAAUUAAGAAGCAAAACGCGUACAAAAUUCGAUAAUUUCGGUUAAUUUCCAAUUUGUGUUAAAUCUCUACUUAGCACUUGUGAUGCGACCGCGUUGCGCUGCGUCGCUCGCACCAACAAAGGCGUAAUGUGUCUACGGGUCGCGUAAGCCGAUUAUUUCGGCGAAUGCUUAUCAAUAAAUUUAGAUGUAGAUAAACGUUUAGAAUUAAUGCUGCGACACUUUCCACAGUGUAGCCGUGCGUUCGAGGUGUGAAGAGUUGGGCCAAGCAGUUAUUUUAAGGAUUGAAUUUAAAUAACUUCAAUCAACGGUGUGCCGAUUUUGACAGGAAAGAGUGGAGAAAGGUUUGAGCUGGAAUGGAAUGCUUAAAUAUUUCGAGGAUUCUCCUUCCUACGCUCACAACAAUAGCGUACGAGCAUGCAUUUUGUGUUCUAGGCAUCUGCGGAAGACUAUUCUGAUCGAAGGAUUAUUAUUUUCUUUCUUACAGAUUUUAGACUAGGAACAGUAAACUUGUAAGGCUAGAUCCUGGUAUAUACUAUGCUUACUUUCUCCACCAUUUUUCAUCAUAUAACAUAGACCUGAGACGCCGGAAGCUCACAAAAGACGGUACCUGCUACCUCUAUUAUUCAUAUAGAUAGAAAUCAUACAAAAAGGAAGCAAUAAGGUGUAGAUUAUAGAACUUAUGAUGGAAAAUGUUCGUCUUCAUAAGAUUAUGUUCCAGCAUUGCAAAUCUAGUCGUUGUUUUCAUCGUAGCGAGAUUAUGUUGUGUCCCCCAAAUUUUCCGUUACAGUUCUUUGCAUGGGAAAUGCGGCUUGAGAUGAUGGGUCGCAAAGGAAGAACUUCACUAAAUUAAUUAAAAUUACAGACGAAAUUGCGGACAGUCAUACGAAAAAAACGCUGCUCUUAUAAAAUAAAUUGCUUAGCUGUCAGCUGAAAGAGGAAGCUCCAACUUAAUAUAACGAGGAUAGUAACACAUUCCUUAUCCGAUGUCUUAUGUCUGAACACAUUUGGAAAUCCUUAUAUACUUUGA